AUUGAACGCUGGCGGCAGGCUUAACACAUGCAAGUCGAGCGGGGAAGGGUAGCUUGCUACCUAACCUAGCGGCGGACGGGUGAGUAAUGCUUAGGAAUCUGCCAUUUAGUGGGGGACAACAUUCCGAAAGGAAUGCUAAUACCGCAUACGUCCUACGGGAGAAAGCAGGGGAUCUUCGGACCUUGCGCUAAAUGAUGAGCCUAAGUCGGAGUUAGCUAGUUGGUGGGGUAAAGGCCUACCAAGGCGACAAUCUGUAGCGGGUCUGAGAGGAUGAUCCGCCACACUGGGACUGAGACACGGCCCAGACUCCUACGGGAGGCAGCAGUGGGGAAUAUUGGACAAUGGGCGGAAGCCUGAUCUAGCCAUGCCGCGUGUGUGAAGAAGGCCUUAUGGUUGUAAAGCACUUUAAGCGAGGAGGAGGCUACUUAGAUUAAUACUCUAGGAUAGUGGACGUUACUCGCAGAAUAAGCACCGGCUAACUCUGUGCCAGCCGCCGCGGUAA
This 502-nucleotide ribosomal RNA is filed under the name uncultured bacterium. RNAcentral describes it as "partial 16S ribosomal RNA". It matches the Rfam family "Bacterial small subunit ribosomal RNA", at positions 30 to 523 of the family's 1533-position model. The record is from RNAcentral.